Non-coding RNA from Ameiurus melas (black bullhead), 72 nucleotides. NCBI's taxonomy places the organism in Eukaryota, Metazoa, Chordata, Actinopteri, Siluriformes, Ictaluridae. The record is from the annotation of a GenBank genome assembly.
GGCUUAGUGGUUAAUUGUUAACACGUUCGCCUCACACCUCCAGGGUCCAGGAUUCGAUUCCCUCCGGGGCCA